UUCGACCGUGCAAAGGUAGCAUAAUCAUUUGCCUUAUAAUUGAAGGCUAGUAUGAAUGGUUUGACAAGAAUGUAGCUGUCUCUUUAUAAUUUAAUAGAAUUUUAUUUUCAGGUGAAGAAGCCUGUAUUUAAUUAAAAGACAAGAAGACCCUAUCGAGCUUGAAAAAACUUAAUAGAAUUAAAAUUAAUAUUUAUAAAAAAUUGUCUAUUAAACAUUUUAGUUGGGGCGACUGAGGAACAUAAAAAGCUUCCUUUAUAAACUGAUUUAAAUCAAACUAGAAUUGAUCCAAAAUAUUUUGAUUAAAGGAAUUAGUUACCGUAGGGAUAACAGCAUUAUCUUUUUUAAGAGCUCAUAUCGAAAAAAAGGUUUGUGACCUCGAUGUUGGACCAGAAUAUCCUAAAGGUGC
Molecule: ribosomal RNA, 406 nt
Filed under: Nassarius variciferus
Lineage: Eukaryota; Metazoa; Mollusca; Gastropoda; Neogastropoda; Nassariidae
Description: partial 16S ribosomal RNA
Rfam family: Bacterial large subunit ribosomal RNA
Source: RNAcentral